UGGAUUGGGACCUCUUCAGAUCGCGGAUU
RNAcentral lists this small RNA (29 nucleotides) under Bombyx mori (domestic silkworm). Its description in RNAcentral is "ovarian small RNA-34692". The record is from RNAcentral. Lineage: Eukaryota; Metazoa; Arthropoda; Insecta; Lepidoptera; Bombycidae.